GAGACGCUGCUCGAUAUUUGGAAAUAAUUGUUGCCUACAUAAUUUCGGCGUCGAGCUCAAAGAUCUUCAAGCGGAAGUCAAUCACAGUAGAAAAGGCUCUUUGGUUCAUAUUCUGCAUCGCGGCAGUCUCCCACGAGAAACCUUCGAGUAUCAAUUUAUACGAUGCGGCGUCAAACCAAUUGUUCAAAUCGCUUGAAAAUACCACAGAUCUUGGGCAAUACUAUACCCAUCACCCCGCUGUCGUGAUUCAUUCUCUUCAGAACAC
This 265-nucleotide unclassified non-coding RNA is filed under the name Athalia rosae (coleseed sawfly). RNAcentral describes it as "misc RNA ENSAEAG00005013014.1". Lineage: Eukaryota; Metazoa; Arthropoda; Insecta; Hymenoptera; Athaliidae. The record is from RNAcentral.